This 29-nucleotide small RNA is filed under the name Bombyx mori (domestic silkworm). Its description in RNAcentral is "ovarian small RNA-4177". Lineage: Eukaryota; Metazoa; Arthropoda; Insecta; Lepidoptera; Bombycidae. The record is from RNAcentral.
AAACGAUGUCCCGCAGCUGUUGAGGCUGG